UAAAAGGUUUUCUAGGGUUCCGCAGCAUAUGCUGGUCUGGUCCGAGAGAAAACGCACGAUUAGUGUACACGGCGGGACAAAAGCCCGGGAGGA
This 93-nucleotide small RNA is filed under the name Lentibacillus amyloliquefaciens. RNAcentral describes it as "Guanidine-I sequence". It matches the Rfam family "Guanidine-I riboswitch aptamer". Rfam says of the family: This family represents a conserved RNA structure found upstream of the ykkC and yxkD genes in Bacillus subtilis and related genes in other bacteria. The function of this family is unclear although it has been suggested that it may function to switch on efflux pumps and detoxification systems in response to harmful environmental molecules. The record is from Rfam by way of RNAcentral. Lineage: Bacteria; Bacillati; Bacillota; Bacilli; Caryophanales; Bacillaceae.